RNAcentral lists this ribosomal RNA (253 nucleotides) under uncultured bacterium. RNAcentral's name for it is "partial 16S ribosomal RNA". It matches the Rfam family "Bacterial small subunit ribosomal RNA", at positions 524 to 776 of the family's 1533-position model. The record is from RNAcentral.
UACGUAGGUGGCAAGCGUUGUCCGGAUUUACUGGGCGUAAAGAGCGCGCAGGCGGUCGUACAAGUCGCGUGUGAAAGCCCCCGGCUCAACUGGGGAGGGUCACUCGAUACUGAUCGACUUGAAGGCAGGAGAGGGAAGCGGAAUUCCCGGUGUAGUGGUGAAAUGCGUAGAUAUCGGGAGGAACACCAGUGGCGAAGGCGGCUUCCUGGCCUGUUCUUGACGCUGAGGCGCGAAAGCUAGGGGAGCGAACGGG